RNAcentral lists this transfer RNA (100 nucleotides) under Nocardia macrotermitis. RNAcentral describes it as "tRNA-Ser". Lineage: Bacteria; Bacillati; Actinomycetota; Actinomycetes; Mycobacteriales; Nocardiaceae. The record is from RNAcentral.
CUUCUACCUGGACCAGGUCGCCCAGGUGGUGAUGGACCGCUGGUCCGACGGCCGGGUGGUGCUGCUCGGUGACGCGGCGUUCAGCUCGUCGCCGAUGUCC